UCUUCGCUGAGCCCCGCGCCUUCCCCCGGGUGGGGCACUGCGUUCCCUGCGGUCGCGGCA
Carlito syrichta (Philippine tarsier) is the source of this 60-nucleotide unclassified non-coding RNA. Lineage: Eukaryota; Metazoa; Chordata; Mammalia; Primates; Tarsiidae. The record is from Ensembl.